CUCAGCCAACGUGUUUGACUCUGCUGUGUACUACUGUGCUGUGAGGCCCACAGUGACAGGAAACACCAGGACUCUGUACAAAAACACAAGCUGCCACCCUGACAAGCUGCUGGAAGCCUUUUCUCCACUGCUGCAGUGACCUGUUCUCUCCACUAGAGGGCCACAUCAUCCAGUAGGCGCUGCACUACUUCUGCACUGGGCUCAGACAUUCUGCCAAGAAUAACUGCUGCUGUGAACAGAGCAGUUCUCACACUGACUGUUGGACAUCAGCUGGUUUCUCCUGCUGCUUUAGACCUGCUGGUAGAGAUGGAGCAUUGGCUGUGGAUCAUUCUGGCUGUUCUUUGCUCUGAGUGUAAAGGAGAAGACAAAGUGACCCAGCCAGUAGGAGACAUCACUGCUGCUGUAGGAGACACAGUUACACUGAACUGUACUUUUGAGACCAGUUACACUCCCUACUUGUUUUGGUACAAACAAGAAGAAAAUGACUUUCCCAAGUAUAUUUUGCGAAGUGAUACUUUUGGAUCAGACAAUGCUCCAGAGUUUCAGAAGGACAGAUUUAAUGCUAUAAUGAACAAGCCAUCAGUUCCUCUGACGAUCCAGAAGCUUCAGCUGAAUGACUCUGCUGUGUACUACUGUGCUCUGCAGCCCACAGUGACAGGAAACACCAGGACUCUGUACAAAAACCUCUGGAACAAACAAUACAAUGCUCCACAUCGUCCACUAGAGGGAGUCACACACUGAACUUUAGGUGAAUCACAUAACAAAUGCUCCAGCAACUAAGAAUCAGACACCAACAACGUCAUCUCUCUUCACUGCAGCUUGUUCUUGAAAGCUGAAACUGGUUCACAGAAUCUGACUAUUUGUCCCAAAAACAC
Non-coding RNA from Monopterus albus (swamp eel), 875 nucleotides. The record is from the annotation of a RefSeq genome assembly. Lineage: Eukaryota; Metazoa; Chordata; Actinopteri; Synbranchiformes; Synbranchidae.